RNAcentral lists this long non-coding RNA (449 nucleotides) under Elaeis guineensis (African oil palm). Its description in RNAcentral is "long non-coding RNA (EGUI_LNC025302)". Lineage: Eukaryota; Viridiplantae; Streptophyta; Magnoliopsida; Arecales; Arecaceae. The record is from RNAcentral.
UAUAUAUAUAUAUAUAUAUAUAUAUAUAUAUAUAUAUGCUUCAACGGAUGCAAUACGUACAUAUAUCCAGGUACAUGAGAGCACGACGGGACUGGAUCCAGUUAUGGCUUGUGGGUUGGCUUACGUUGAGGACCGGAAGGGUUCUUCUUCUUCACAUGUGGCAGUGGCUUCUUCCGUGACCUUGGCAAAGGCUUGGAGAUGUGCUCGUCCGGUAUGGCACCACAGCCGGGAUCCGGGCACAGCGGUCCAGAUACGGGCUGCAAGGCUAGUGGCGGUUUGAUAUCUCUGAUGUGUGGCCGUUUCGCGACCGGAAGUUUGUCGAUAAAACGUGAUGGCCUGGAGCUGGCAUCAGAGGGUGUGGCGAGAGCCACCAUUGCUAAGAGGAGGGCUAGAAGCAGAUACUGUGGAAGGGAAGGCUUCAUGGUGUUUGUUAGAGGUGGGAAUUUGGG